Eriocheir sinensis (Chinese mitten crab) is the source of this 810-nucleotide RNA transcript. RefSeq lists it as uncharacterized. The record is from RefSeq and is a predicted model, not a curated record. Lineage: Eukaryota; Metazoa; Arthropoda; Malacostraca; Decapoda; Varunidae. The transcript is spliced from 6 exons.
GUAACCAACCCACCUCCUGUCCCCUUCCAGGUGCAGGCGGAGGGCACCAUGACCUUCAGGCUGCUCCCGGCCAGCAGCUCGGUGCACCUCAGGGAGAGCAAGGUGAGGGUGCACGCCUACUUCCACUAUGACCCCAAGGAGGACAACAAGCACAUUCCCUGCAAGGAAGCCGGGCUGCCCUUCAACAAGCUGGACAUCCUGCACAUUGUGACCCAGGAUGACCCCUACUGACAGUGUUUGACCGUGUGGACGGACCCUGACGGUUGCUGUGAUGUGCAGGUGACGGCUUGGUGACGCAGGGCAUGGAGGACACAGCGCUGCAGUGGCUCAGCGAACGCCUCGGCCACCCAGACAACUUCACUUCUGUGAUAUUCCUGCCCAGACCAAGGCCUGGAGCACCGCUUCACGAGGAAGUAAAUCUUCAUUACCGACGAGACGAGCGGCGAGGCGGCACCGCGGCUCCAGGCGGGGCGGCGGCUCCUCCGACACCCGCGUCAUGCCCUUCAGCUUCCAGCAGCAGACGAGCGGCUGAACAGACACUCCCCGGGAUGUCUGAACGACAGCCAGGCUGGACUGAAUGAUCCAGCAGUUGCAGUUACACUGGGACUUUCCAAAUACAGCAACACAUACUCGCCACCUUCCUCUUGGCCACCCUGAUUGUUGUGCAAUUCCAUGUGUGGUCAGGUGUUGCAACCCUCCAAUAAGCACCUGUACCAAUCUGGAUAGAGAUGUGUAGUUCACAGUGUAAGGACAAUCCAGUUGUCAGUCAAACAUCUGGCACUGUUCCCCAAAAGAGCUGACAAACUCCGA